AUUGAACGCUGGCGGAAUGCUUUACACAUGCAAGUCGAGCGGCAGCGCGGGGCAACCUGGCGGCGAGCGGCGAACGGGUGAGUAAUGCAUCGGAACAUGUCCAUUCGUGGGGGAUAGCCCGGCGAAAGCCGGAUUAAUACCGCAUACGCCCCGAGGGGGAAAGCGGGGGACUUCGCAAGAGGCCUCGCGCGAAUGGGUUGGCCGAUGUCCGAUUAGCUAGUUGGUGGGGUAAAGGCUUACCAAGGCGAUGAUCGGUAGCUGGUCUGAGAG
RNAcentral lists this ribosomal RNA (270 nucleotides) under uncultured bacterium. Its description in RNAcentral is "partial 16S ribosomal RNA". It matches the Rfam family "Bacterial small subunit ribosomal RNA", at positions 30 to 298 of the family's 1533-position model. The record is from RNAcentral.